GGUGAGUGGUGACCCGCUGUGGAGCAGUUGGAUCGGCUCCGCUAGUCCGCUGGCUUCAAUUUCAAUCCCUACCUGAGUACGCGUGGCAAUUCACCACCCCGACGACGACUAUGCAUAAAAACCCUAACUUUGCACACGAAUUUGAAUAUGAGCAAUGGAGGCAAAUUGGGGAGUAAAAGAGAGCGAGAGGAUACUGUGGAUAAGCGGGCAGAUUCGCAUUCCCUGCAAAGACAUUACUAGCUGGAGAGAGAUUUAUCUCCCAUUGCUCUGCAAGCUAAAUUCUCUGCCAAAGUCCACACCAACAACCAUGCCUCUUUAUUGGAGACAUUUGCUCCAGCAAUUGAAGCAAUGAAAGAUGGGCUCUCAGAAACAGGAAAUGGCAUGGAGAAGCUUCUUCUGUACAAAAGACCUGCUGUAUGUUUAGUGUUCAGACCUGGUAAGAAAGUUUUAGGCGAUUCUUUGAAUUUGAGGCUUUGGAACAAGAGUUCUGCAAGAACAGCAACAUGGUUUAGGCGAGAUGAAGAUAAAGAUGAUAAGAAGAGGAGAGCAGAGUUAAUUCUUAGGCAAUCCAUGGAAAACCAGCAGGAGCUGACCCAGUUGUAAAAUAGUUAAUGGAUGUGUUUACAGUGAACUAGAUUAGCUGAAAAUGAAAAAAAUACAUUGUAUCCAUGCUGUGAAUUUCAGGAGAGUCCCUGUAGAAGCCAAGCACUGAGAGUUUCAGGCAUUUUUCCAAGGUUAGUUAUUGUUUUCUUCAGGAUAUGUUCAAAAUUGAUUUUCAUCUUGCUACCCAAAGAAAAAUUCAAAAAUAAAUUAAUUAGAAUUUAGUUUUGAUCAGAUUUUUUUUAAUCUUAUGGUCUCACUUUCCCAAGUUGUAUUGAAGGAAAUUGUAGUUAGAACAUGAUUUUUUAUGAUAGUGGAGGAAGGAAAUGGUCAAGUGACAGUAGUUUCCACCAAAAAAUUUGUUUGUUAGUACAAUUUCUUGUUAAUGUUUUUCUCAAGGAUUUUGGUUAUAAGAGAAUUCAGUGGGUGGCAAAACAGUAUCUCUUUCAGAGCUUUUGCAUU
Ipomoea triloba (trilobed morning glory) is the source of this 1062-nucleotide long non-coding RNA. RefSeq lists it as uncharacterized. NCBI's taxonomy places the organism in Eukaryota, Viridiplantae, Streptophyta, Magnoliopsida, Solanales, Convolvulaceae. The transcript is spliced from 2 exons. The record is from RefSeq and is a predicted model, not a curated record.